GGCACUACAAGUGACAUGCCAAUGGGCAGUUUAGCAAAAGCUGGAAGUGCCUUGACAUUUACAGUACACUGAAACAGUGGCUGGCUUGAAAAAUCCCAAAACGAUUUUCUGCAGGAGAGCCCUUUUGACUAAUAUGAGACAUAGUCCAGUGUAAAACAACU
This 161-nucleotide long non-coding RNA is filed under the name Pongo abelii (Sumatran orangutan). RNAcentral's name for it is "lincRNA". Lineage: Eukaryota; Metazoa; Chordata; Mammalia; Primates; Hominidae. The record is from RNAcentral.